RNAcentral lists this transfer RNA (69 nucleotides) under Oryctes rhinoceros (rhinoceros beetle). Its description in RNAcentral is "tRNA-Met". It matches the Rfam family "tRNA". From Rfam's summary of the family: Transfer RNA (tRNA) molecules are approximately 80 nucleotides in length. RNAcentral also lists the same sequence under 1 other name. The record is from RNAcentral. Lineage: Eukaryota; Metazoa; Arthropoda; Insecta; Coleoptera; Scarabaeidae.
AAAAAGAUAAGCUAAUUAAGCUACUGGGCUCAUACCCCAUCAAUAAAGGUUCUAAUCCUUUUCUUUUUA